GACGAACGCUGGCGGCGUGCUUAACACAUGCAAGUCGAGCGGUAAGGCCCUUUCGGGGGUACACGAGCGGCGAACGGGUGAGUAACACGUGGGUGACCUGCCCUCAGCUCUGGGAUAAGCCUGGGAAACCGGGUCUAAUACUGGAUAUGACUCCAUGACGCCUGUUGUGGGGUGGAAAGCCUUGUGCGGCUGAGGAUGGGCCCGCGGCCUAUCAGCUUGUUGGUGGGGUGANGGCCUACCAAGGCGACGACGGGUAGCCGGCCUGAGAGGGCGACCGGCCACACUGGGACUGAGACACGGCCCAGACUCCUACGGGAGGCAGCAGUGGGGAAUCUUGCGCAAUGGGCGAAAGCCUGACGCAGCGACGCGCGUGAGGGAUGACGGCCUCGGUUGUAACGU
This 399-nucleotide ribosomal RNA is filed under the name uncultured bacterium. Its description in RNAcentral is "bacterial SSU rRNA". It matches the Rfam family "Bacterial small subunit ribosomal RNA", at positions 28 to 431 of the family's 1533-position model. The record is from RNAcentral.